This 623-nucleotide ribosomal RNA is filed under the name Salmonella enterica subsp. enterica serovar Schwarzengrund. RNAcentral's name for it is "bacterial SSU rRNA". It matches the Rfam family "Bacterial small subunit ribosomal RNA", at positions 1 to 613 of the family's 1533-position model. Lineage: Bacteria; Pseudomonadati; Pseudomonadota; Gammaproteobacteria; Enterobacterales; Enterobacteriaceae. The record is from RNAcentral.
AAAUUGAAGAGUUUGAUCAUGGCUCAGAUUGAACGCUGGCGGCAGGCCUAACACAUGCAAGUCGAACGGUAACAGGAAGCAGCUUGCUGCUUCGCUGACGAGUGGCGGACGGGUGAGUAAUGUCUGGGAAACUGCCUGAUGGAGGGGGAUAACUACUGGAAACGGUGGCUAAUACCGCAUAACGUCGCAAGACCAAAGAGGGGGACCUUCGGGCCUCUUGCCAUCAGAUGUGCCCAGAUGGGAUUAGCUUGUUGGUGAGGUAACGGCUCACCAAGGCGACGAUCCCUAGCUGGUCUGAGAGGAUGACCAGCCACACUGGAACUGAGACACGGUCCAGACUCCUACGGGAGGCAGCAGUGGGGAAUAUUGCACAAUGGGCGCAAGCCUGAUGCAGCCAUGCCGCGUGUAUGAAGAAGGCCUUCGGGUUGUAAAGUACUUUCAGCGGGGAGGAAGGUGUUGUGGUUAAUAACCACAGCAAUUGACGUUACCCGCAGAAGAAGCACCGGCUAACUCCGUGCCAGCAGCCGCGGUAAUACGGAGGGUGCAAGCGUUAAUCGGAAUUACUGGGCGUAAAGCGCACGCAGGCGGUCUGUCAAGUCGGAUGUGAAAUCCCCGGGCUCAAC